GACGAACGCUGGCGGCGUGCCUAACACAUGCAAGUCGAGCGAGGUAUAUAUACCUAGCGGCGGACGGGUGAGUAACACGUGGGUAACCUACCUCAGAGAGGGGAAUAGCCUUCCGAAAGGAAGAUUAAUACCGCAUAACAUACACAUUUAGCAUUACGAGUGUAUCAAAGGAGUAAUCCGCUUUGAGAUGGGCCCGCGGCGCAUUAGCUAGUUGGUAGAGGUAACGGCUCACCAAGGCGACGAUGCGUAGCCGACCUGAGAGGGUGAUCGGCCACAUUGGAACUGAGACACGGUCCAGACUCCUACGGGAGGCAGCAGUGGGGAAUAUUGCACAAUGGGGGAAACCCUGAUGCAGCAACGCCGCGUGAAUGACGAAGGCCUUCGGGUCGUAAAGUUCUUUGAUGGGGGAUGACAAUGACAGUACCCCAAAAACAAGCCACGGCUAACUACGUG
RNAcentral lists this ribosomal RNA (453 nucleotides) under uncultured organism. Its description in RNAcentral is "bacterial SSU rRNA". It matches the Rfam family "Bacterial small subunit ribosomal RNA", at positions 28 to 507 of the family's 1533-position model. The record is from RNAcentral.